AGAGUUUGAUCAUGGCUCAGAUUGAACGCUGGCGGCAUGCUUUACACAUGCAAGUCGAACGCGGUCGGGGGGCAACCCUUGGCCGAGUGGCGAACGGGUGAGUAAUACAUCGGAACGUACCCCGUUGUGGGGGAUAACCCACCGAAAGGUGGGCUAAUACCGCAUACGCCCUUCGGGGGAAAGCGGGGGACCGCAAGGCCUCGCGCGAUGGGAGCGGCCGAUGUCGGAUUAGCUAGUAGGUUGGGUAAAGGCUGACCUAAGCGACGAUCCGUAGCUGGUCUGAGAGGAUGAUCAGCCACACUGGGACUGAGACACGGCCCAGACUCCUACGGGAGGCAGCAGUGGGGAAUUUUGGACAAUGGGGGCAACCCUGAUCCAGCCAUGCCGCGUGAGUGAAGAAGGCCUUCGGGUUGUAAAGCUCUUUCGGCCGGAACGAAAUCGCCUCCCCUAAUACGGGGGGUGGAUGACGGUACCGGAAGAAGAAGCACCGGCUAACUACGUGCCAGCAGCCGCGGUAAUACGUAGGGUGCGAGCGUUAAUCGGAAUUACUGGGCGUAAAGCGUGCGCAGGCGGCUCUUCAAGUCAGAUGUGAAAGCCCCGGGCUUAACCUGGGAAUGGCGUUUGAAACUGGAGGGCUGGAGUGUGGCAGAGGGAGGUGGAAUUCCACGUGUAGCAGUGAAAUGCGUAGAGAUGUGGAGGAACACCGAUGGCGAAGGCAGCCUCCUGGGCCAACACUGACGCUCAUGCACGAAAGCGUGGGGAGCAAACAGGAUUAGAUACCCUGCUAGUCCACGCCCUAAACGAUGUCGACUGGUUGUUGGGGAAGGAGACUUCCUUAGUAACGAAGCUAACGCGUGAAGUCGACCGCCUGGGGAGUACGCCGCAAGGUAAACUCAAAUGAAUUGACGG
Molecule: ribosomal RNA, 909 nt
Filed under: uncultured bacterium
Lineage: Bacteria
Description: bacterial SSU rRNA
Rfam family: Bacterial small subunit ribosomal RNA
Source: RNAcentral